GCCCAGUACAGAGGGGGCCGAAGCCGCGAGGCGGAGGAAAUCCUGAAAACUGGGCCCAGUUCGGACUGUAGGCUGCAACCCGCCUACACGAAGCCGGAAUCGCUAGUAAUGGCGCAUCAGCUACGGCGCCGUGAAUACGUUCCCGGGUCUUGUACACACCGCCCGUCACAUCAUGGAAGCCGGUCGCACCCGAAGUAUCUGAAGCCAACCGCAAGGAGGCAGGGUCCUAAGGUGAGACUGGUAACUGGGAUGAAGUCGUAACAAGGUAGCCGUAGGGGAACCUGCGGCUGGAUCACCUCCUUUCUAUGGA
This 310-nucleotide ribosomal RNA is filed under the name Bacteroides caccae. RNAcentral's name for it is "partial 16S ribosomal RNA". It matches the Rfam family "Bacterial small subunit ribosomal RNA", at positions 1232 to 1533 of the family's 1533-position model. The record is from RNAcentral. Lineage: Bacteria; Pseudomonadati; Bacteroidota; Bacteroidia; Bacteroidales; Bacteroidaceae.